This 460-nucleotide ribosomal RNA is filed under the name uncultured bacterium. Its description in RNAcentral is "partial 16S ribosomal RNA". It matches the Rfam family "Bacterial small subunit ribosomal RNA", at positions 338 to 795 of the family's 1533-position model. The record is from RNAcentral.
CCUACGGGUGGCUGCAGUGAGGAAUAUUGGUCAAUGGACGAGAGUCUGAACCAGCCAAGUAGCGUGAAGGAUGACUGCCCUAUGGGUUGUAAACUUCUUUUAUAUGGGAAUAAAAUGUUCCACGUGUGGGAUUUUGUAUGUACCAUAUUAAUUUGGAUCGUCUAACUCCGUGCCAGCCGCCCCGGUAAUACGGAGGAUCCGAGCGUUAUCCGGUUUUAUUGGGUUUAAAGGGAGCGUAGGUGGAUUGUUAAGUCAGUUGUGAAAGUUUGCGGCUCAACCGUAAAAUUGCAGUUGAAACUGGCGGACGUGAGUACAGUAGAGGUGGGCGGAAGUCGUGGUGUAGCGGUGGAAUGCGUAGAUAUAACGAAGAACUCCGAUGGCGAAGGCAGUUCACUGGACUGCAACUGACACUGAGGCUCGAAAGUGUGGGUAUCGAACAGGAUUAGAUACCCGAGUAGUC